This is a long non-coding RNA of Cydia splendana, 410 nucleotides long. RefSeq lists it as uncharacterized. NCBI's taxonomy places the organism in Eukaryota, Metazoa, Arthropoda, Insecta, Lepidoptera, Tortricidae. The record is from RefSeq and is a predicted model, not a curated record. The transcript has 3 exons.
UCUGUGGAUAGGUCUUCAAAACUGAUAUUGAGGUUUCUAAUAUAAUUUUUUUCUAAACUGGAUAAGACCCGCGAGAGACACUUCCAAAGUGGUAAAAUAUGUGUCCCCCCCCCCCCGUAACUUCUAAAAUAAGAGAAUGAUAAAACUAAAGAAAAUAAAUGAUGUACAUAACUUCCACCGAAAAUUGGUUUGAACGAGAUCUAGUAAGUAGUUUUUAGGGUUCCGUAGCCAAAUGGCAAAAAACGGAACCCUUAUAGAUACGUCAUGUCUGUCUGUCUGUCCGUCUGUCUGUCCGUCCGUAUGUCACAGCCACUUUUUUCCGAAACUAUAAGAACUAUACGGUUGAAACUUCCUAAGAAGAUGUAUUCUGUGAACCGCAUUAAGAUUUUGACACAAAAAUAGAAAAAAAA